GACGAACGCUGGCGGCGUGCUUAACACAUGCAAGUCGAGCGGUAAGGCCCUUUCGGGGGUACGACGAGCGGCGAACGGGUGAAUAACACGUGGGUGACCUGCCCUUAGCUCUGGGAUAAGCCUGGGAAACUGGGUCUAACACCGGAUAUGACCUCAUGACUCAUGUUGUGGGGUGGAAAGCCUUGUGCGGCUAGGGAUGGGCCCGCGGCCUAUCAGCUUGUUGGUGGGGUAAUUGCCACCAAGGCGGACGACGGGUAGCCGGCCUGAGAGGGCGACCGGCCACACUGGGACUGAGACACGGCCCAGACUCCUACGGGAGGCAGCAGUGGGGAAUCUUGCGCAAUGGGCGAAAGCCUGACGCAGCGACGCCGCGUGAGGGAUGACGGCCU
RNAcentral lists this ribosomal RNA (389 nucleotides) under uncultured bacterium. RNAcentral describes it as "bacterial SSU rRNA". It matches the Rfam family "Bacterial small subunit ribosomal RNA", at positions 28 to 417 of the family's 1533-position model. The record is from RNAcentral.